GAUGAACGCUGGCGGCGUGCCUUAGGUAUGCAAGUCGAACGGUCCGACGCAAGUCGGACAGUGGCGGACGGGUGAGUAACGCGUAAGAAUCUACCCAUGAGUUCUGAAUAACCUGUCGAAAGACGGGCUAAUACGGAAUAGUAUCUCCGGAUUAAAGGGUUUAACUACCCGCUUAUGGAGGAGCUUGCGUCCUAUCAGCUAGUUGGUGAGGUAAAGGCCCACCAAGGCUAUGACGGGUAUCUGGACUGAGAGGUCGGACAGACACAGGGGCACUGAGACACGGGCUCCACAUCUACGGAUGGCAGCAACCAGGAAUAUUGGGCAAUGGGGGCAACCCUGACCCAGCGACGCCGCGUGGAGGAUGAAGGCCUUAGGGUCGUAAACUCCUUUUGAUAGGCUCUUCACAGCCUAUAGAAUAAGCACCUACCAACUACGUGCCAGAAGUCUCGGUAAUACGUAGGGUGCAAGCGUUAUCCGGAUUUACUGGGCGUAAAGAGUGUGUAGGCGGUCUGCUAAGUCCUUAUUUAAAGAUCGAGGCUCAACCUCGAUUUGGGUAGGGAUACUAAUAGACUAGAAGAUUAUUCGGGGUACUGGAACAGUUGGUGUAGUGGUGAAAUACGUUGAUAUCAACUGGAACACCGAAGGCGAAGGCAAGUACCUAGGAUUUUCCUGACGCUGAGACACGAAAGCCAGGGGAGCGAAACAGAUUAGAGACCUGUGUAGUCCUGGCCGUAAACGAUGGAUGCUAGCUAGUGUGCAAGCACUGGCGUAAGCUAACGCGUUAAGCAUCCCGCCUGGGGAGUACGACCGC
This 811-nucleotide ribosomal RNA is filed under the name uncultured bacterium. Its description in RNAcentral is "bacterial SSU rRNA". It matches the Rfam family "Bacterial small subunit ribosomal RNA", at positions 28 to 889 of the family's 1533-position model. The record is from RNAcentral.